AAGACAUGAUGAGGACACUGUAUUGGCAAUCCUUUGAGUCUUUCCCAAGCUGUAAACAAUGAUUCUCCUUCUGUCUGUUGGAAGUUUAUGAUUUCACUUCUACAUUU
Molecule: small nucleolar RNA, 107 nt
Organism: Zingiber officinale
Lineage: Eukaryota; Viridiplantae; Streptophyta; Magnoliopsida; Zingiberales; Zingiberaceae
Source: RefSeq, a predicted model, not a curated record